RNAcentral lists this ribosomal RNA (2902 nucleotides) under Escherichia coli. RNAcentral describes it as "bacterial LSU rRNA". It matches the Rfam family "Bacterial large subunit ribosomal RNA". The record is from RNAcentral. Lineage: Bacteria; Pseudomonadati; Pseudomonadota; Gammaproteobacteria; Enterobacterales; Enterobacteriaceae.
UUAAGCGACUAAGCGUACACGGUGGAUGCCCUGGCAGUCAGAGGCGAUGAAGGACGUGCUAAUCUGCGAUAAGCGUCGGUAAGGUGAUAUGAACCGUUAUAACCGGCGAUUUCCGAAUGGGGAAACCCAGUGUGAUUCGUCACACUAUCAUUAACUGAAUCCAUAGGUUAAUGAGGCGAACCGGGGGAACUGAAACAUCUAAGUACCCCGAGGAAAAGAAAUCAACCGAGAUUCCCCCAGUAGCGGCGAGCGAACGGGGAGCAGCCCAGAGCCUGAAUCAGUGUGUGUGUUAGUGGAAGCGUCUGGAAAGGCGCGCGAUACAGGGUGACAGCCCCGUACACAAAAAUGCACAUGCUGUGAGCUCGAUGAGUAGGGCGGGACACGUGGUAUCCUGUCUGAAUAUGGGGGGACCAUCCUCCAAGGCUAAAUACUCCUGACUGACCGAUAGUGAACCAGUACCGUGAGGGAAAGGCGAAAAGAACCCCGGCGAGGGGAGUGAAAAAGAACCUGAAACCGUGUACGUACAAGCAGUGGGAGCACGCUUAGGCGUGUGACUGCGUACCUUUUGUAUAAUGGGUCAGCGACUUAUAUUCUGUAGCAAGGUUAACCGAAUAGGGGAGCCGAAGGGAAACCGAGUCUUAACUGGGCGUUAAGUUGCAGGGUAUAGACCCGAAACCCGGUGAUCUAGCCAUGGGCAGGUUGAAGGUUGGGUAACACUAACUGGAGGACCGAACCGACUAAUGUUGAAAAAUUAGCGGAUGACUUGUGGCUGGGGGUGAAAGGCCAAUCAAACCGGGAGAUAGCUGGUUCUCCCCGAAAGCUAUUUAGGUAGCGCCUCGUGAAUUCAUCUCCGGGGGUAGAGCACUGUUUCGGCAAGGGGGUCAUCCCGACUUACCAACCCGAUGCAAACUGCGAAUACCGGAGAAUGUUAUCACGGGAGACACACGGCGGGUGCUAACGUCCGUCGUGAAGAGGGAAACAACCCAGACCGCCAGCUAAGGUCCCAAAGUCAUGGUUAAGUGGGAAACGAUGUGGGAAGGCCCAGACAGCCAGGAUGUUGGCUUAGAAGCAGCCAUCAUUUAAAGAAAGCGUAAUAGCUCACUGGUCGAGUCGGCCUGCGCGGAAGAUGUAACGGGGCUAAACCAUGCACCGAAGCUGCGGCAGCGACGCUGAUGCGUUGUUGGGUAGGGGAGCGUUCUGUAAGCCUGUGAAGGUGUGCUGUGAGGCAUGCUGGAGGUAUCAGAAGUGCGAAUGCUGACAUAAGUAACGAUAAAGCGGGUGAAAAGCCCGCUCGCCGGAAGACCAAGGGUUCCUGUCCAACGUUAAUCGGGGCAGGGUGAGUCGACCCCUAAGGCGAGGCCGAAAGGCGUAGUCGAUGGGAAACAGGUUAAUAUUCCUGUACUUGGUGUUACUGCGAAGGGGGGACGGAGAAGGCUAUGUUGGCCGGGCGACGGUUGUCCCGGUUUAAGCGUGUAGGCUGGUUUUCCAGGCAAAUCCGGAAAAUCAAGGCUGAGGCGUGAUGACGAGGCACUACGGUGCUGAAGCAACAAAUGCCCUGCUUCCAGGAAAAGCCUCUAAGCAUCAGGUAACAUCAAAUCGUACCCCAAACCGACACAGGUGGUCAGGUAGAGAAUACCAAGGCGCUUGAGAGAACUCGGGUGAAGGAACUAGGCAAAAUGGUGCCGUAACUUCGGGAGAAGGCACGCUGAUAUGUAGGUGAGGUCCCUCGCGGAUGGAGCUGAAAUCAGUCGAAGAUACCAGCUGGCUGCAACUGUUUAUUAAAAACACAGCACUGUGCAAACACGAAAGUGGACGUAUACGGUGUGACGCCUGCCCGGUGCCGGAAGGUUAAUUGAUGGGGUCAGCGCAAGCGAAGCUCUUGAUCGAAGCCCCGGUAAACGGCGGCCGUAACUAUAACGGUCCUAAGGUAGCGAAAUUCCUUGUCGGGUAAGUUCCGACCUGCACGAAUGGCGUAAUGAUGGCCAGGCUGUCUCCACCCGAGACUCAGUGAAAUUGAACUCGCUGUGAAGAUGCAGUGUACCCGCGGCAAGACGGAAAGACCCCGUGAACCUUUACUAUAGCUUGACACUGAACAUUGAGCCUUGAUGUGUAGGAUAGGUGGGAGGCUUUGAAGUGUGGACGCCAGUCUGCAUGGAGCCGACCUUGAAAUACCACCCUUUAAUGUUUGAUGUUCUAACGUUGACCCGUAAUCCGGGUUGCGGACAGUGUCUGGUGGGUAGUUUGACUGGGGCGGUCUCCUCCUAAAGAGUAACGGAGGAGCACGAAGGUUGGCUAAUCCUGGUCGGACAUCAGGAGGUUAGUGCAAUGGCAUAAGCCAGCUUGACUGCGAGCGUGACGGCGCGAGCAGGUGCGAAAGCAGGUCAUAGUGAUCCGGUGGUUCUGAAUGGAAGGGCCAUCGCUCAACGGAUAAAAGGUACUCCGGGGAUAACAGGCUGAUACCGCCCAAGAGUUCAUAUCGACGGCGGUGUUUGGCACCUCGAUGUCGGCUCAUCACAUCCUGGGGCUGAAGUAGGUCCCAAGGGUAUGGCUGUUCGCCAUUUAAAGUGGUACGCGAGCUGGGUUUAGAACGUCGUGAGACAGUUCGGUCCCUAUCUGCCGUGGGCGCUGGAGAACUGAGGGGGGCUGCUCCUAGUACGAGAGGACCGGAGUGGACGCAUCACUGGUGUUCGGGUUGUCAUGCCAAUGGCACUGCCCGGUAGCUAAAUGCGGAAGAGAUAAGUGCUGAAAGCAUCUAAGCACGAAACUUGCCCCGAGAUGAGUUCUCCCUGACUCCUUGAGAGUCCUGAAGGAACGUUGAAGACGACGACGUUGAUAGGCCGGGUGUGUAAGCGCAGCGAUGCGUUGAGCUAACCGGUACUAAUGAACCGUGAGGCUUAACCUU